UUGAAAAAACCCCCAACGGGAACUACACAAAAAAAUACCUCAGCCCUCUUUCUUUCAAUCCCUUUCAACGGGAACUCCACAAAAAAUACCUUUCAUUUUUCUACUUUGUUUUUUUCUGUGAUUUUGCUAAAAUUUCACUUCAACAUUAUCAUCUUGCCAUAAUAUCAGAUAAAAUGGGCCAACAUAAGAGGAAGAGAACCAGUUCACCUUGUCCUGAUGCUAGUGAAAAAUCUAGGAGCUUAGCUACUGCUAGAAAACAAGAGGCUGCAUGUAAUAAAAGAGCUACCACAUCAGUACAAAAGCUGAUUGAUGAAGCAGCCGAGCAAGAGAUGCUUUUGCUUGUGCACCUUUGGAGAUAAUGAUACCUUUAAACAAUGAGUAGUUGAUUGGUGAAAAAGAAACACUUGAGAAUAGUGGUGAAAAGUCAAGUGAAGAAAAAAGUGGCGAGAGUGCAACUGAGCAAUCAGGUGAAGAGGAAACAAGUGGUGAGAAUGCAACUGAGCAAUCAGGUGAAGAGCAAAAAAGUGGUGAAAGUGCAACUGAGCAAUCAGGUGAAGAGGAAAAAAGUGGUGAGAGUGCAACUGAGCAUUCGGGUGAAGAGGAAAAAGAAUAAAAGGAAAGGACUACGGUUGGUGAAGAGGAUGCUCAAUCAGUAGCCGUUGCUAGAUCAAGUAAUGAUACUAGUGGUGGUAAUUCAAAGGGUGCUGGAUCAUCAGGUAAUAAUAAUGAUCCCGAUGCUCUUUCGGUUCCAGAAUGCGUGAAAACCAUUUCCAUUGAAAAAUAUGGAUUUAAGACCCACUUGAAUAAGUUUUCGCCUUAUGAUUCAAGGAUCAAUGUGAGAGUCGGCUUUGGAACUCAAUUUGUUGAGUUUAGAAAGGUUUUGAUCGAUCAACGUAUUGAGAAUGGUUUCAAAAAAAUUUGCUUUGGUCAGUUUUUAAACUUGAGGAAAGAUGUAGCAAUACAUCUCCCAAUGAAGUUGGUGCACGACCUUCUUCUUCGCCGAAUUUUUUGUGAAAAGAAAAAGGAAAUUUGAUGUGAUUACAAUGGCUUGCCUAUUUGUUUUGACAUCAAUGAAUUCGCUAUCAUGACUGGACUUCGAUGUCAUUCUCUCCCCCCUCUUAGUCAGCAGUUAUCAAAGGUUGAAGAAAAGGGUACAAGUUUGGUAGAUAUAGUGGGGAAGUCUGUUGAUGGUGAUGGUCUCAUUGAGAAGCUAAAGGAUUCAAACUUGACCAAAAAACAAAAGAUGGUUGUGAGCGUGGUUUGGUUCUUGCAUAGCAUAUUAUGUGCAAAAGAUGCAAAAAAAAAAAAAGGUAGACACCAAUUGGUUAAAAAUGGCAUCGAACCAAAAUGUAUUCAAUUCUUAUCCAUGGGGUCGAAUAAGCUUCAAUCUUACUAUUGAAUAUCUUUUAAAGAAUUGAAUCCAACCAAAAACCAAUAUAACCUUUAUAGCUUUCCAUAGGCGUUCGCGGCUUGGGCAUUUUGAAGCUAUUCUGGCAGUUCAACGGCUAGCUAAGGAUCCUUCACUUGAGAGGUCACUGCCAAGAAUGAUUAAAUGGUUGUCCGCAAAACCAGCGAGAAAGACUAACUCUAACUCGGCAAAUGUUGAUCCUCUUGUUUAGACAAGAAAAGAGGUAAGAUUCUACAUGUAAAUAAUUUCAAUUUUUUUUUGCAAUCUAGAGGCUGCUAAAAAACAUAGCACCCCUGCUAUUACAGUGGGGACUCCAAAUUUUAGACCUUCAUCUGCUUGUUUUGUUGUUGAUUAGUCCUCCAUUCAAGAUUGCAUUCAAGAUUGUUGAACCCCUCCCCCCUCUCUAACCCUUGUAUAUGAUUUGUAAUGAGGUUUCUAAGUUCUUAAAAUGAAGUGAGAUGGUAUGAUUUCUUACAAAUAAGCUGUUGGUGGCAGACUACUAAUAUUUUAGGCAUGGACAACUUUAAGAAUUUUGGAAUUUGUGGCAGGUAUUGGUUGAAUGAGCAAUGUUGACCUCUCUCCAGUAAAUGGAAGGAGUUACAUUAAUUAGUCUCAUUAUGCAGCAUCUUUGUAUGGUUGAUAGCUAGUAACUGUACCAAGUGUCAACCUUCCUUUUUAUUAUCACCACGCGGUUCCCACUUUCAUCAUGUUUCUUUUGCAAUUCUUAGAUUGAUUGUUGCAUGUAUCUUUAAUGAUUGGUAGUAGUGCACAUGUUAAUCGUGCUGACAAUUGGGAAAACAUCAAAGGCUUCCAGUGAUGAGCUUUGAGUUGUAGAAAUACAUAAAUGGUUUUUGAUUAUAUAUUGGCCAAUGGAUUUUAAAGUCAGUUUGGAUGAACUUUUAUUAUCUUGAGAUAGGACUAUUUUGCUGCAUCUUUUCCUGGUCCUUGAUCUGUUUUAAUUACCUUUUAGAGUGCUAGGAAUUCAGCUUCCAGGUGUAUCCUGAGCGCUCAUUCCCGGACACCACUUGGUUAUGCUGAGUACUCAAAAUGCUAGAAUUUUAAUUGAAUGACCAUUUACUGCCUUAACAUGGAAGUUAGAUUGAAGUCUCUUGGAUAAUAUGUUAAAACAUUCUUUUUCCGACAAAACCUGCCACUAAGCUUUGACAAGUCGCUAAUGGUACUGAUCAAAUUGCAAUCUUGUUGAUAAUAUAUCAGAUGCAUAAUGGUGGCUAAUCAAAUUGCUACUCUCUUAAGUGAAGAAAUUAAAGGGGUUGAACAAUAAGUUGAAAAAUUGGGACAGAUCAAUGCUUAAAACCUCAAACUCUAUGUAACAUUAAUUGUCUUUAUCCCAAAUAACACGUAUUUGAGAACAAUAAAUAAGCAUAAUUUGAAAAUGACUUGUUGAGAAUAGAAGCUAUAUGCAUGGGAUGAUCAGUGUAACUUUCUAAUAGUAGUUUGAAGUUAUUAUUAUUAUUAUUAUUAUUAUUAUUAUUAUUAUUAUUACAUGUCUGUAGGUUCGUUUUGAGCCUAUUCUAUUACUAGCAAAUGAAUGAUAAUAGAACCUGGUACUCUCAUCAGAUUGUAAUAAGUUCCAGCAUAUCUGUGAGGUUUUAAUUGUAAUCAUCAGAUUGUAAUAAAUUGUAAUCAUCAAAACAUAUUGGAGAUUUUAAUUUUUUAUUUUUCCCUUUCUUGAUGAGGUUUUUUGUGUUUGCUAAAUAUUCAAACUCAUUUUCUUAAAUGCAAAUGCAAAAUCAGAUUGUGCACCUUUUUCAUUUUCCAACAAAAAUAGAGAAAGCGAAGGAUUAUAUUCAAGAUAUUACGCCCUUUGAAGAUGGUCCGGAUCCAAACAUUGAUGUUUUAAAAGCUGAGUUGACACAUGUAACAACCAUAAAAUUAGAUAUAAUUGGUGGUGAUGAGAGUCUUGAGAGAGUUGGUGGCGAGGAGAGUGUUGUGAGAGAUUGUGGUGUUGAGCAGAGAGUUACUACCCAAACCAUUAGUCCACAUGUGGACUUUAAUAUUUGUAGAUCUUUUGGCGUUGCAGGAGGAGGAUACUCGUAUGUAGCUGAUCUUGGUAGGGAAGUAGAUACUCCUGGAGCGACAAAAACAACAGGUGUGAGUAUCUCCAAGGUCCCUUGUUGUUGUGAAUGCAAAAAUUGUUGUGAUAAGCAUAAUGCCCUUUUGGAGGCAAUAAAUUCAUUGUCAGUGAAGUUAGAAAAGCAGCAGCCAAAGAGGAAUAAAUUUCCGAGCCACGUAAUGCAAUCUCCUUGUACUCCCGAAUUAAGGAGAAGGUUGGCCAUAAAUACCAAAGCCAAGAAUGCUAGGACAAAGAACAAAUUAAAGGUGAAUUGUACAAACCUCUUGCGACGGGGAAGAUAGAGGCCUUUAAAGACUUCCUCGGUAAGAA
Lycium barbarum (goji berry) is the source of this 3812-nucleotide long non-coding RNA. RefSeq lists it as uncharacterized. NCBI's taxonomy places the organism in Eukaryota, Viridiplantae, Streptophyta, Magnoliopsida, Solanales, Solanaceae. The transcript is spliced from 3 exons. The record is from RefSeq and is a predicted model, not a curated record.